Molecule: ribosomal RNA, 460 nt
Filed under: uncultured bacterium
Lineage: Bacteria
Description: partial 16S ribosomal RNA
Rfam family: Bacterial small subunit ribosomal RNA
Source: RNAcentral
CCUACGGGUGGCAGCAGUGAGGAAUAUUGGUCAAUGGACGAGAGUCUGAACCAGCCAAGUAGCGUGAAGGAUGACUGCCCUAUGGGUUGUAAACUUCUUUUAUAUGGGAAUAAAAUGUUCCACGUGUGGGAUUUUGUAUGUACCAUAUGAAUAAGGAUCGGCUAACUCCGUGCCAGCAGCCGCGGUAAUACGGAGGAUCCGAGCGUUAUCCGGAUUUAUUGGGUUUAAAGGGUGCGUAGGUGGAUUGUUAAGUCAGUUGUGAAAGUUUGCGGCUCAACCGUAAAAUUGCAGUUGAAACUGGCAGUCUUGAGUACAGGAGAGGUGGGAGGAAUGCGUGGGGUAGCGGUGAAAUGCUGAGAUAUCACGAAGAACUCCGAUUGCGAAGGCAGUUCACUGGACUGCAACUGACACUGAGGCUCGAAAGUGUGGGUAUCAAACAGGAUUAGAUACCCGUGUAGUC